ACAACGUGCUUUGAUGGUCAUGAG
This 24-nucleotide non-coding RNA is filed under the name Arabidopsis thaliana (thale cress). Lineage: Eukaryota; Viridiplantae; Streptophyta; Magnoliopsida; Brassicales; Brassicaceae. The record is from RNAcentral.